UACGGGGGGGGGCAAGCGUUGUUCGGAAUUACUGGGCGUAAAGGGCUCGUAGGCGGCCAACUAAGUCAUACGUGAAAUCCCCCGGCCUAACCGGGGAACUGCGUCUGAUACUGGAUGGCUUGAGUUCGGGAGAGGGAUGCGGAAUUCCAGGUGUAGCGGUGAAAUGCGUAGAUAUCUGGAGGAACACCGGUGGCGAAGGCAGGUCUCUGGGCAUUAACUGACGCUGAGGAGCGAAAGCAUGGGGAGCGAACAGGG
RNAcentral lists this ribosomal RNA (255 nucleotides) under uncultured bacterium. RNAcentral's name for it is "partial 16S ribosomal RNA". It matches the Rfam family "Bacterial small subunit ribosomal RNA", at positions 524 to 777 of the family's 1533-position model. The record is from RNAcentral.